RNAcentral lists this long non-coding RNA (1788 nucleotides) under Mytilus galloprovincialis (Mediterranean mussel). The record is from RNAcentral. Lineage: Eukaryota; Metazoa; Mollusca; Bivalvia; Mytilida; Mytilidae.
CCGGUAUUGAUAUGCUAGUAUGAUAAAGUGUUCAUUUUAUAUCCUCAUAGUUCUAGUACAUAUGGGAAAUAAUAAUUUCAUGCUAGGCUUGAUUUUGAUAAGAAUCAUUUGACAAUUCAAGAUACGUUUAUAGCAUUUGUUAUGUUACUGUUUUCUUUAGGUGACAUGUUUAUGGCCUAAUUAACAACUUUGAUGGAAUUAAAUCUGAUGAUCACUUUAUCAUGGGUUAAUUAGUGUUAUCACUACAGUUUACAUGGCUCAAUGUUUACUUUGCAAUUUCCUUCAAUCCAGACUAUUUGUAACCUUCGUUUCUAAAGGUUUUAUUUUUUUUAAUUUUUUUUUUUUAAAACAAAAAUCAACGAAUUUAAAAACCCAUGAACAUGUCAAAACUGCUCAAACCACGAAAAUUGAUACACACGAAUUAAAGUACUUUCACAGUACUUAGUCUAAAUCUCAUAAACAUGAUUACAUUUACAUAUUCAGUUACAUUUAAGACAAACUAUAUAUCAAUUGCUUCAAUAAUAUUCAUAUCAGUGAAAAAUACUGGACACACUAUGUUUAAUUUACUCCCCAAACAAUCAACUUGUCAAACAGGGAAAAGAAUAACAUUGCAAAUAGACAAAUAAAAUGAAAAAUUAAGCUUUAAAAUUUCGUAAAUGGGAGGUACUAGAUAUCUAAGAUAUUGACAACACUCCCAUCUACUUAGAACCAGUUUCUUACAAAAAAAGAUUUCAAUCAGUGAUCUGAAGGAUAAAAUAUGGUUGAUGAAAGACAUUUGUUGCCAUUUGUCACAUAAUAUACUAGUCAACAAAAGAAACGAUACACCACUUUGAUCAAAAAUAAUAUUUCACCGUUUACUUGAAAACAAUUAAAAAUAGAUAGAAUAUGUUAUUUUAAUGUUCUAUGGGACAAAGUAAAAUAAAAAACAGUCCCGACAGUUCCUGUACAGAAUAUGGACGGAUCAAAGUCAGUAUCAGGCAUUUCAGUUUCCUGAAUGAAAUAGCGAGUAUGACCACCUCUCUAAGCUACCACAGCUUCACACCUAAGAGGCACAGAUUCAACCAAAGUCUUAAUGUUGGAUUGGGGGAUAAUAACUCCUCUUUGAAAGCUUUGUAUCAUUUCCAGUGGAUUUUGCUUUAUUGAAAAGAUCUGCCAAUUUGAUCCCAUAAAUGUUCUAUAGGAAAGAGAUUGGGAGACAAUGCUGGCCAAGGGAGAACUCAAAAAUGGUUUUGCUCAAGAUAGUCCAAACAGGUCCAUGCCACUUGACAUCUAGCAUUAUCUUGUUGGAAAACGUGGGUGAAACCAUGUUGUUGAAUGGCAUCCCUAUCUCUCAAAUCGUUCAAGUUAACAUCAACAAUGUUUAACUAUGUACGUCCGUUGUGACAUAUUCUCACCCAUACCGACGAGCUUCAGCCCUCCAAAAUGGUUGCAGAAGUGUAAAAGAUGUAUCACGCAAUUUUGACGUUGUGAUGUUGCAUGGGGUCCGCCGCUACAGGGUCUAUAAUUUGUUGAGCCAGAUUGCCUAAGACGAAUCAUCAAGUCUUGAUAUUGGUAUUCCUGCCCCAUGAAAAUGUUUUGCGAUGUCAGUGUACAUCAUCCCAGAUCUUACCAUAACAACAGCUUGUUCAUGCUAAUCUGGAGUAAUCUGGCCAUCAAAUUCUCUAUGUUUUUCACCAUUUUUUAAGAUGGCAAAUUGUUAACUUGACGCAGUAGCCUUAUUAUUGUCAUCAAACAAUUUAAAUGCUUCAUUGAUUCAGCGAGAAAUUAAUUAAAUACAAAAAAUAACAU